RNAcentral lists this long non-coding RNA (212 nucleotides) under Lathyrus oleraceus (garden pea). RNAcentral describes it as "Pisum sativum (pea) long non-coding RNA (PSAT_LNC012348)". Lineage: Eukaryota; Viridiplantae; Streptophyta; Magnoliopsida; Fabales; Fabaceae. The record is from RNAcentral.
CACCGAGACGCUCAUUUUUGCCUAAGCCGCCCUUUCGGGUUUUCAACUUAGCGAGCUAUUCUGUUUUUUUCGUUUUUUUUUUUUCAUUUGCAUAUACUUUUUUUCUAGGCAAAGUAUCUCUUAACUGCAUCUGAAUUCACAGGACGAGUGAAAUCCUCCCCAUCCAUUGUUGUAAGCAUCAAAGCACCGCCUGAAAAGGCUCUCUUAACAAC